This 73-nucleotide transfer RNA is filed under the name Candidatus Bathyarchaeota archaeon. Its description in RNAcentral is "tRNA-Cys". It matches the Rfam family "tRNA". Rfam says of the family: Transfer RNA (tRNA) molecules are approximately 80 nucleotides in length. Their secondary structure includes four short double-helical elements and three loops (D, anti-codon, and T loops). Further hydrogen bonds mediate the characteristic L-shaped molecular structure. tRNAs have two regions of fundamental functional importance: the anti-codon, which is responsible for specific mRNA codon recognition, and the 3' end, to which the tRNAs corresponding amino acid is attached (by aminoacyl-tRNA synthetases). tRNAs cope with the degeneracy of the genetic code in two manners: having more than one tRNA (with a specific anti-codon) for a particular amino acid; and 'wobble' base-pairing, i.e. permitting non-standard base-pairing at the 3rd anti-codon position. Lineage: Archaea; Thermoproteati; Candidatus Bathyarchaeota. RNAcentral also lists the same sequence under 1 other name. The record is from RNAcentral.
GCCGGGGUGACCGAGUGGUUUAGGUGAUGGGCUGCAGACCCAUUGUACGGGGGUUCAAAUCCCUCCCCCGGCU